UACAGAGGGUGCGAGCGUUAAUCGGAAUUACUGGGCGUAAAGCGCACGUAGUCGGCUUUGCAAGUCGGUUGUGAAAUCCCCGGGCUCAACCUGGGAACUGCAUCCGAGACUGCAUUGCUAGAGUAUGGGAGAGGAAAGCGGAAUUCCACGUGUAGCGGUGAAAUGCGUAGAGAUGUGGAGGAACACCAGUGGCGAAGGCGGCUUUUUGGUCUGUAACUGACGCUGAGGCGCGAAAGCGUGGGGAGUAAACAGG
This 253-nucleotide ribosomal RNA is filed under the name uncultured bacterium. Its description in RNAcentral is "partial 16S ribosomal RNA". It matches the Rfam family "Bacterial small subunit ribosomal RNA", at positions 524 to 776 of the family's 1533-position model. The record is from RNAcentral.